RNAcentral lists this ribosomal RNA (419 nucleotides) under uncultured bacterium. RNAcentral's name for it is "partial 16S ribosomal RNA". It matches the Rfam family "Bacterial small subunit ribosomal RNA", at positions 362 to 773 of the family's 1533-position model. The record is from RNAcentral.
UAUUGGACUAUGGGGGCAACCUUGAUCCAGCCAUGCCGCGUGUGUGAAGAAGGUCUUCGGUUUGUAAAGAACUUUAAGUUGGGAGGAAGGGCUUUAGGUUAAUACCCUGAAGUUUUGACGUUACCACCAGAAUAAGCACCGUCUAACACUCUGCCAGCAGCCGCGAUAAUACAGAGGGUGCAAGCGUUAAUCGGAAUUACUGGGCGUAAAGCGCGCGUAGGUGGUUCAGUAAGAUGGGUGUGAAAUCCCCGGGCUUAACCUGGGAACUGCUUUCAUAACUGCUGAGCUAGAGUACGGUAGAGGGUAGUGGAAUUUCCUGUGUAGCGGUGAAAUGCGUAGAUAUAGGAAGGAACACCAGUGGCGAAGGCGACUACCUGGACUGAUACUGACACUGAGGUGCGAAAGCGUGGGGAGCAAAC